CGAACGGGUGAGUAAUGCUUAGGAAUCUGCCUAGUAGUGGGGGAUAACUUGGGGAAACUCAAGCUAAUACCGCAUACGACCUACGGGUGAAAGGGGGCGCAAGCUCUCGCUAUUAGAUGAGCCUAAGUCGGAUUAGCUAGUUGGUGGGGUAAAGGCCUACCAAGGCGACGAUCUGUAGCUGGUCUGAGAGGAUGAUCAGCCACACUGGGACUGAGACACGGCCCAGACUCCUACGGGAGGCAGCAGUGGGGAAUAUUGGACAAUGGGCGAAAGCCUGAUCCAGCCAUGCCGCGUGUGUGAAGAAGGCCUUUUGGUUGUAAAGCACUUUAAGUAGGGAGGAAAAGCUAAUGGUUAAUACCCAUUAGCCCUGACGUUACCUACAGAAUAAGCACCGGCUAACUCUGUGCCAGCAGCCGCGGUAAUACAGAGGGUGCAAGCGUUAAUCGGAAUUACUGGGCGUAAAGCGCGCGUAGGUGGUUACUUAAGUCAGAUGUGAAAGCCCCGGGCUUAACCUGGGAACUGCAUCUGAUACUGGGUAACUAGAGUAGGUGAGAGGGGAGUAGAAUUCCAGGUGUAGCGGUGAAAUGCGUAGAGAUCUGGAGGAAUACCGAUGGCGAAGGCAGCUCCCUGGCAUCAUACUGACACUGAGGUGCGAAAGCGUGGGUAGCAAACAGGAUUAGAUACCCUGGUAGUCCACGCCGUAAACGAUGUCUACCAGUCGUUGGGUCUCUUG
Molecule: ribosomal RNA, 733 nt
Filed under: uncultured bacterium
Lineage: Bacteria
Description: bacterial SSU rRNA
Rfam family: Bacterial small subunit ribosomal RNA
Source: RNAcentral